RNAcentral lists this ribosomal RNA (182 nucleotides) under Dendrobrachia multispina. Its description in RNAcentral is "partial 18S ribosomal RNA". It matches the Rfam family "Eukaryotic small subunit ribosomal RNA", at positions 600 to 784 of the family's 1831-position model. The record is from RNAcentral. Lineage: Eukaryota; Metazoa; Cnidaria; Anthozoa; Scleralcyonacea; Dendrobrachiidae.
UAUACUAAAGUUGUUGCAGUUAAAAAGCUCGUAGUUGGAUUUCGGGAUGGCACGGUUGGUCAAUCCGCAAGGAAUGCCACUGGCUGCGUUGUCCUUCUUCGCGAAGACCACGUGUGCUCUUAAUUGAGUGUGCAUGGAAUUUGCGACGUUUACUUUGAAGAAAUUAGAGUGUUCAAAGCAGG